Non-coding RNA from Pelodiscus sinensis (Chinese soft-shelled turtle), 2901 nucleotides. The record is from RefSeq and is a predicted model, not a curated record. Lineage: Eukaryota; Metazoa; Chordata; Testudines; Trionychidae.
AGGAUUUUUGGGUGGGGAAACAGACUCUGUUAUACGCUAUCUUCAGUGCUUCCUUCAGAGGAAAGCAGAACCUCUCCCAAGCUAAGGUGAAGAACAUCUAGCCAGUGUCUUUUUUAUACUGGCACCAGACAGAAGGAGGGAAAGGGAACCGGAGUGUAACAACAACUCAUUUGGACUUGUAUCUAAGAAUAAUCAGAUUCAAUGGAUUGGCUCCCUUAUAGAACAACUGCAUUUCUAUUCAUUUUAAUGGCAUUUUUGGAUGUCAGCGCUGGAUUCCAUGUUGAGGUGAAAGAAUGGAAUGAAAAUAAUGUGACAUGAUGGAAAACCUUCAAAAGACAAAAACGGAAAUGGAUUGAAUUCACUGCAGAUUGCAGAGAAGGAGAAGAUAAUUCAAAAAGGAAUCCAAUUGCCAAAAUUCGAUCCGAUUGUGAAGAAAACCAACCAAUUGUAUACAGCAUCUCCGGAAUAGGGAUUGAUCGGCCACCUUAUGGGAUCUUUGCUAUUAAUAAAAACACUGGAGAAAUUAAUAUAACAUCAAUAGUUGAUCGAGAGGUGACCCAACGUUUGCUAUAACAUGCUAUGCUAAACAUGCAAUUACUAAUAGAGAAGUAGAACCGCCUCUUGUGCUUCGCAUCAGAGUUCUGGAUAUAAAUGACAAUGCUCCAGUAUUUUCACAAGCUGUACAUAUGGGAUCUAUUGAAGAAAGUCGCAUGGAGACUACUCUGGUGAUGAAAUUAAUUACCAUGGAUGCAGAUGAACCAAAUAACUUGAAUUCUAAAAUUGCCUACAAGAUAAUGGGUCAGGAACCUGCAGGUGCAUCAAUGUUUAUUCUAAGUAGAGAUUCUGGAGAAGUUCACAUAGCAAAUUUUCUUGACAGAGAGGUAAAAACUUCAAUAUAUUAAUAUUCAUGAUGGAAAAAGAGAGAGAGAGGUUCAUGAUGGAGAGAGAGAGAGAGAGUAUGAGAGAGAUUAAUAUAUUUAGUUGUUGCAAAGGUGAAACAGAAGAUUGAAAUGAUCUUAUUUUAGAAUAUAGAGGUAUUGUAUGGGCUUUUGCUGUAUUAUAGGAAAUAUUUGUACCUAUAACUAAUUGAUGUAUUUGAAAGGAGCCGCAAGAAAUUACCCAUCAGUAUGUGGUUUUUUAAUGUUUUUGUUUGUAAAUAAUGUGUACAUUGGUCUUUCCAAUUUAGCAAUAUGACAGAUACUCUCUUGUUGUGAGAGCCUCAGACCGCGAUGGAGCUGCAGAUGGAAUCUCUUCCCAGUGUACCUGUUCCAUUGAAGUUAUUGAUGUCAAUGAUAAUUUCCCAACUCUUUUGCAGAAUUCAAUGGUAGGUGCCAUCAAUUUGAUCCCACAGUGGAGGAUCAUCUACCUGGGAGACCUGGACCUGAGCAUGACCUGAUUUGCCACCCUGGGCUUUCCAAACCACUCCGGAGUGCUCGGACCCUCAGAAACACCGAACAAGCUUCACUGCACCCUAUGACAAUCAUUUGUGAAUUCUCCAUUGGUUUCAAAGCCCCUCUUUCUAGCCCUUUGGCCCAGAUGUGGUAGGUAACAAGUGGCCUUACAGCAAAAUGCAAGAAAUCAAUAUUGCACAACAAUGAAUAAGACGUUCACUAGAGAAGUUUUUUUCCUUACUCCCAUCAGUUACUGGUUGGCUUUUCCCUGAGACAUGAAAAUAUAUGUCCUCCUAAAAUAUUUCAAUUGUCUAAUGAAACUGGAAUUUUAAACAUCAAUUUGUAAUCCCUACAAACUCUUGGCUUCAUUACUAUCUUGUGGGUUUCAUGUUAACUUUCUAUUGUGUAUUUCUUUUCAUUAGCUUUAAAUCAAAUGCCUUUCAAGGAAAAUGUGAUUGUUUUUCAUGCUGUUCCCAAUGUCUAACCAUAGUCAAAUUUUUAGAAUUAUCAUAUAGUACAAUGCAUUAAAAGUUUUUUGGGGAUGUUUAUGGAGAGCUCCUUGCAAGAACAGGAGAAAGACCACCACAUGCACUCAUGGGAGAAUCUGGCACAAAGGACAACACUCAUCAGGUGAACGGAGGCAGAUGCAGAUAUCUUAAUAAUGAAUAAGAUUUUUUGGUAGCGUGAGAAAGACCAGAAAGGGUUAAAAGUGAAGACAAGUAAUUUGUGUGUGACUCACUGGAGAAGCAGAGAGAUGAGAAAGGGGGAAGAAGCGGGAAUGGUUGAAAUGCCAAGGAAAAUGAAGUACUGGGGACAGCUUUUGGAUUGCAUACAUGUAUGGCAACAGGACAUGUUUCAAGGCUGGAAAGAAGGAGGAAGUUAUGCAGGAGAGCAGCACAUGCCAGGGGCAACGCUGGGCUAUACUGAAAGGUCGCUCUAGGAGGUUACAAAGGAAACACUGAUCAGGCCCUAGUUUGGAGUGAUUCCUUAACUUCCUUAUCUGGCGCAAAAUUAUGCCAAAAUAUGUAUAAUUUCUCCCGUGCCUCUAUUUUCCAUUAAGUGUCCCCUUUACUCCACUGUUGUUCAACCAAACCACUGCUUACAGUUUUCUUGCUUCUCAUAUUUAAAAAUCUUCCUAUUUGUUUUCAGAUAUUUGGUUAUUUGCUCUUCAGAAUUGCUUUUAGUUCCUCCUUAAUGUACACACUUUUGCCAGCCAAGUUCCUUUGUACUGGUUUGACUAGAAUUUGACUGCCAUUUUCCAAAGGAUCUCUUUUAGGCUUCAAAAAAUUGUACCUUUCUAUUUGGUCAUACUAGUUUCCUUCUUGCUUUGCUACUUCCUGUCUGGAGGUUUACAUGUUUUCUGUGACUCUGGUAUGGUUUGAUUAAUUUCCAAAUACGAAUUGCAAAUUUGUCCAAGCACACACAAAACUGCAUAUUGACAAGAUACAGAAAACUGUCAAUUCACAUUCAACCAUCAAUGUUCUUACUUUUAAAAAGAAUAUACAAUAUU